RNAcentral lists this ribosomal RNA (492 nucleotides) under uncultured bacterium. Its description in RNAcentral is "partial 16S ribosomal RNA". It matches the Rfam family "Bacterial small subunit ribosomal RNA", at positions 29 to 507 of the family's 1533-position model. The record is from RNAcentral.
AGUGAACGCUGGCGGUAGGCCUAACACAUGCAAGUCGAACGGCAGCACAGUAAGAGCUUGCUCUUACGGGUGGCGAGUGGCGGACGGGUGAGGAAUACAUCGGAAUCUACUUUUUCGUGGGGGAUAACGUAGGGAAACUUACGCUAAUACCGCAUACGACCUACGGGUGAAAGCAGGGGAUCUUCGGACCUUGCGCGAUUGAAUGAGCCGAUGUCGGAUUAGCUAGUUGGCGGGGUAAAGGCCCACCAAGGCGACGAUCCGUAGCUGGUCUGAGAGGAUGAUCAGCCACACUGGAACUGAGACACGGUCCAGACUCCUACGGGAGGCAGCAGUGAGGAAUAUUGGACAAUGGGCGCAAGCCUGAUCCAGCCAUACCGCGUGGGUGAAGAAGGCCUUCGGGUUGUAAAGCCCUUUUGUUGGGAAAGAAAAGCAGCAGGUUAAUACCCCGCUGUUCUGGCGGUACCCAAAGAAUAAGCACCGGCUAACUUCGUG